Molecule: long non-coding RNA, 4412 nt
Filed under: Daucus carota (carrot)
Lineage: Eukaryota; Viridiplantae; Streptophyta; Magnoliopsida; Apiales; Apiaceae
Description: long non-coding RNA (DCAR_LNC000192)
Source: RNAcentral
AGUACCGUUGUUUCUCUAUGGUCUUACAAGACACAGACACAAAACUAUGUGUGUUUGUGUAUGUUAUAUGUUUGUUUGAUCUAGUGCAUUCAUAUAAACUGUUCUAAUUUGCAGGUUCCAAAUGGUUUCGGAUGUGGGCUGGGGAUACUACAGCUGAUUCUGUAUGCAACUUACUGCGGAAACAAAGGCCAGACCAAGAAAACUGCUGAUGGAUCAUCUCUGGAGCUGGGGCAGGCCAACGGAGACACCCCGGAUAAGCCAAACCUCAAGUAGGCGAAACAUCAAUGUCGAACAAUCUGCACUACAAUCUCUAGCUUCUAGCUGCUUGUCAAUUGUAAUAUACUCAAGCUAAGCUCUCAAGUUGAGCUCUUGUGUUAUUUCAUUUCCUAGUUGGCUAUUUAGCUGGCUUUUGUACUAGUAUUGUUUUAAUUGUAUUUCUCAGUUUGGUUAAAAAUGUAUGACAUUUUCUAAUCUUUGUUGGUUUAGUGCACAAAAAGAACUUCAAAAUGGGGAAAUGUCUGGUGCAGUUUUAGAGCUUGCUGCUAAAUUUAGGACACUUUUUUUGCUAAUAUUGUGGCAAUUAACUAAUUAAGAAACCUGCAAUCCCAAGAAUGACUUCAUACAAAAUUUUGAUUUUUUUUUUGACAAAUAUGGCUUAUAGCUUUACAAAUGAGUAUCUGUUCUACGAAACUCUCAGGUGAUCUCAGGGUGAGUCAGGGUUGAACCCAGGACCUCGGACGACAGAGGAUAAGCUUUGAAUUUAAUCGCUCACCUAUUACAAAAAUUUAAACAUAGUGCGCAUCACGGAGAAAUUUAAAUACACACGCUCUCAUGUAACCAUUCUUCCAACCACUCCGUUUAAAUAUCACUGUCCAACUUGUAUCUCUUUCAAAAUUCACUAUCUGAUAAUUCAAUUAUAGUACUGUUCCUUCCCUCGUAAACAAGUUUGAUAUAACUUAUAAGUGUUCUGGUUCUGUUGAUGCGCCUUUAUAUUAUACUACUCGGCCCAAUUCGGAUUGAAAACAAACAUAUAAAGGGCCUGUUUGGGACUUAAAAAGUCCAUAAAUUAAGGUCUUGUUUUUUUUUCUAAAACAUACAUAUUUUUAUCUUUUUUGGAUCCAAAGAUCAAGAAAGUGUUAUGACAAAAAAAAAAAUUAAGAAAGUGUUUUAUAUUUAUUUCUGUGAAAAAAUAAGAAUUUAUUUCAGGUACAUGUCAAGACUCCCUACUGAAAAAAUAAAUUAUCUAGCUCCGAACCCCAACCUAACUCAUCCUCGUAUCCUCGUAUAUAUGAAAAUAUGUUAAUUAGUAUAAGACUCGAACCCAAAUCUUUCCGUUACAAAUACAUCACUCAAACCACUUGAGCUACACAAUCAAUUAAAUUUUUAUACAAAAGCAUUAACUACAUACAUUAAACUAUUGUAUUUAUAUUCUUUUCAAUAUCUUAUUUAUUUGAGAUAAAUUAUUAUUUUAUUUAAGUCUCAUAUAUUGUUUACAUUAUAGAUUAAUAUUUAUAAAUUAAUUAUUUACGUAAAUAAAUUUAAAAUUGAAAAGAAUCUCAAUAAUCGGGCUCGAACCAUGAUUCAGAUUUCUAAAAAUAUAUAUAAUUCAUAUUCGAAUAAAAAUGAACGAAUUUAAAUUUAACUUAAUAAUUUAAACGAGUACCAAUACAAUAUUAUAGAAAUUUUAAGUCAUGAAUAUGAGAUAUAAGCACAAAAACUGAGUUUUCAGUGAGCAUUUUGAAAGGAAAGAUUGAGAAAUACUGCUGCGAUCGGAAGUUGCUGGGUAGCUCCAGACAGGGGAUGGUUAAAACUAAAUGUUGAUGCCGCAUUACAUGUGGGUGAAGAUAGUUUUGCAGUUGGUAUGGUCCUUCGAAAUGAGCAUGGAGAAUUUGUGAUGGGAAAAAACUUAAGGAUGGCAGGUCAGGUGACUGUAAUGGAGGCGGAAGCUCAUGGUGUUUACGAGGCGCUAAGGUGGGUGGAUGAUUUAAGGCUCCACCAGGUGGUUAUAGAAAGUGAUUCAAGUCUUGUUGUCCAAGCAUUGCAGCUGAGAUCCUCAUAUUUUCUGGAGGUGGGGAAUAUCUUAGAAGCUUGUCAAGGUAUGCUAGAACAUCGUUCUGAUCUGAUAGUUCAUCAUGUUAAAAGGCAUGCAAAUGGGGUUGCUCAUGUUUUAGCAAAAAUGCCCUGUUUGAUUGAUUGCCAUAAUAUUUUUGUAUCUCCUCCACACUGUGUGUUGGAGAGUUUAUCUGUUGAUUGCUCUUCUACUUAAUAAAACUGGUGUCCUUUGGUUUCAAAAAAAAAAAAAAAANGGAGGCAUGUUCGACACGUGUCCAUCUCACAACAUUAAUUUAAAUAAAUUUUAUUAUUGAAACUUAAAAAAAAUUAAAAAAUUGUUCUCGUAAAACUAAAAAAUAUUGAUGAUUUCUUUACAAAAAAAAUAAAAUAUAUUGAUGAUUUAUUUCGAGUUUUACCGGAUGGCCCGGAAAUAUUACAUCCUAGUCCUUGCUGUGGGUAUGUAUGUGUGUCAUCUUUGUCCUUUCUCUAUAUAAUCCUUUGUUCUCCACUACUUCUUUCUUCAUAACUUCACACCAUUAACCAAGAAACCUCUCUCUUAAAUUCUUGGUUUUCAAGUGUUUGGAGUGAUCUUUGUGUUAUUUCUUCAUCUGGGCUGCUCUUCAUUCUUGAAGAAAGACUUGUGUUGUUGGAAAUGACUGGUGUUUUGCACUCAGCUUUUGGGAUUUUUGGUGAGUUUUUCAGUUUCAUUGAAGGAUUUUGUUUGUGUUUUGAUUGUUAGUAAUGGGUGGUUUUUGGUGGUGGUUGAAACAGGGGAUUUGACUGGCUUGUUCCUCUUCUUGGCCCCAGUGUAAGUAUUUAGUUUCAUGUACACUUCAAUUUGUUUUAAGAUUAUAUUGUUUGUGUGUUUGUAACAAGAUUGUGAGCUCUUUUGUUACUGUGUUUCAUUCAGAAACUUUAAGGAAUCUGGUUUUAAAGUUUUUAUAUUAUGGCCAUCUUUGAUUUUUGUUUUUUAGUAGUACUGUUCCAUUGAUGUUUUCUUUCUUGAAAAUCUGUAAAAGGUCUGUUUUUCUUCAUUUAUGAAAUGUAGUUGAUAUGGUAUAUUCAUCUCUCUCUCUCUCUCUCUCUCUCUCUCUCUCACACACACACACACAUGUACAAGUUGUUGAUUGAAAUUUGAUGGGAAAAUGACAGAAUCACAUUCAAGAGGAUCCUACUAAACAAAUCUACUGAGCAAUUUUCAGGCAUACCAUAUGUCAUGACCCUCCUCAAUUGCCUGCUUUCUGCUUGGUAAUUUUUUGCUUCAUUACAAUGCUUGUUUGAUGUGGGUCAAUAUCUCAUUGUGUGUGUUUUGGCAUACUUAAAUUAUAAUCACUGAAUAGGUAUGGACUGCCUUUUGUGUCACCGAACAACAUACUAGUUUCGGUGGUAAAUGGAACUGGUGCAGUGAUUGAAGCAGUUUAUGUUCUGAUAUUUCUCAUCUUUGCUCCUAAGAAAGAGAAGAUGAAGAUCUUCGGAAUUCUCAUGGUCAUCCUCACUAUUUUCGGAACUGUUGCCUUUGUGUCCAUGUUCGCGCUUCAUCAUAACAAGCGCAAGGUUUUCUGUGGUUUUGCUGCUGCAAUUUUCUCUGUUAUAAUGUAUGGUUCCCCUCUUUCUGUUAUGGUAAGAACACUUGAUUUUGGCCUAGUCUUUUUGUUAUAUGUAAGGCGUAAAAUAUUAUUUGAUUUGGAUCACAGAAUUAUGACUUGGGUAUUCUGUAAACCUUGAAUCCCUGUGAUUACUCCAAUUGUUAAACGUAUAGUUGUAUGUUCCACCUCACAUAUAAGGCUUCCGUUUUUUUGAAGUUCAUGUGGUCUAAAUGUGCAGAGGAUGGUGAUGAAAACACAAAGCGUCGAGUACAUGCCUUUCUUCUUGUCGUUCUGCAGUUUCCUUUGUGGAACGUCAUGGUUUAUUUAUGGCCUCUUAGGAAAAGACCCCUUUGUAGCUGUAAGUACCGUUGUUUCUCUAUGGUCUUACAAGACACAGACACAAAACUAUGUGUGUUUGUGUAUGUUAUAUGUUUGUUUGAUCUAGUGCAUUCAUAUAAACUGUUCUAAUUUGCAGGUUCCAAAUGGUUUCGGAUGUGGGCUGGGGAUACUACAGCUGAUUCUGUAUGCAACUUACUGCGGAAACAAAGGCCAGACCAAGAAAACUGCUGAUGGAUCAUCUCUGGAGCUGGGGCAGGCCAACGGAGACACCCCGGAUAAGCCAAACCUCAAGUAGGCGAAACAUCAAUGUCGAACAAUCUGCACUACAAUCUCUAGCUUCUAGCUGCUUGUCAAUUGUAAUAUACUCAAGCUAAGCUCUCAAGUUGAGCUCUUGUGUUAUUUCAUUUCCUAGUUGGCUAUUUAGCUGGCUUUUGU